This is a non-coding RNA of Struthio camelus australis, 239 nucleotides long. NCBI's taxonomy places the organism in Eukaryota, Metazoa, Chordata, Aves, Struthioniformes, Struthionidae. The record is from RefSeq and is a predicted model, not a curated record.
GUUGUGACUUACAUGAUUUAAAGAUGGUAUAUGAAAGGCAAGCAUCUGAUCAGAACUGAAGAAACACUAUUAUUUCAUGUGUAGAAUUUAUAAGUAUAGAGACCUAACUGUACAGGAGACCAUCAGUGUUAUUACUCAGUACAAGGACCUCAAACCUGUUAUGGAUUCGUAUGUUUUUAAUGAUGGCUCAUCUAGGGAGCUGAUGAGCCUCAGUGGAACCAUUCCUGUGCCUUAUAGAG